UGGGGAAUAUUGCACAAUGGGGGAAACCCUGAUGCAGCGACGCCGCGUGAACGAAGAAGGUAUUCGUAUCGUAAAGUUCUGUCCUAUGGGAAGAUAAUGACAGUACCAUAGAAGAAAGCACCGGCUAAAUACGUGCCAGCAGCCGCGGUAAUACGUAUGGAGCGAGCGUUGUCCGGAAUUAUUGGGCGUAAAGGGUACGCAGGCGGUUUAAUAAGUCGAAUGUUAAAGAUCGGGGCUCAACCCCGUAAAGCAUUGGAAACUGAUAAACUGGAGUAGUGGAGAGGAAAGUGGAAUUCCUAGUGUAGUGGUGAAAUACGUAGAUAUUAGGAGGAAUACCAGUAGCGAAGGCGACUUUCUGGACACAAACUGACGCUGAGGUACGAAGGCGUGGGGAGCAAACAGG
RNAcentral lists this ribosomal RNA (403 nucleotides) under Actinomycetes bacterium. RNAcentral's name for it is "Actinobacteria bacterium partial 16S ribosomal RNA". It matches the Rfam family "Bacterial small subunit ribosomal RNA", at positions 355 to 776 of the family's 1533-position model. Lineage: Bacteria; Bacillati; Actinomycetota; Actinomycetes. The record is from RNAcentral.